This is a long non-coding RNA of Dermacentor albipictus, 834 nucleotides long. RefSeq lists it as uncharacterized. Lineage: Eukaryota; Metazoa; Arthropoda; Arachnida; Ixodida; Ixodidae. The record is from RefSeq and is a predicted model, not a curated record.
CGAGGACUUACGGCGUCGCCAUCUGUCGGAAGCGCCCCGCUUUCGUAGUAUGACGGAUAACGCGGCGCGCUCCUCAUAGGUUUGUCUGCUGCCGGUCAAUAAAUACGCCAUGCGGGAGCACUCCUGGACAUUUCUGUUUCCACUACCUCCGGGAUCGGCCCACGCAAGAGUUCCUACCAGAAAGCUCGCAUUCGUGCACAGCGUUUGCCGCCAACGUUUCUCGACUAUAUAUCCGUGCCAUUCAAGGGAUGGAUGCCGCACUUGGGAUUCCCAACAUUAUGCACUUCAACCAUGAUGGUGAGAUGGCAACACACCUCUAAGGCGUGCAACUCGGGGAGAAGAUGACCUGCUCCCGUAAGAUGUUGGCGCUUGGGCCGGUUCACCACACCCAUCUGGAGCCAUGCCAACCAAAGAUAACGAUCAGAGCACAAGCUUGUUGUCAGCAUGCUGCAGCGAGCUCAUCGCAGCACUUUGCAUUGGCUACAUUAUCUGCGCAACACAGCAGACGCAGAUACAUACAACUGUAGUACGUACGACAGGGCUGGAGUGCGUGCUUGUGCUCCAGUCUCCAUACACAAGUGCAAAAUUUGGCUGACAUAUUCACAACAACAUACGCUAUCCACAAAAUGUUUUUUCAACAAGCCCGAGAGGUGGUUCAGGGUUCCUAAUUCUGUCAGCAUUGUGCAGUCAUGGCUCCACACAUCUGUAUUUUAUGGCACCGUGGGACACUUGAACUGCAUGGCAAGCGAUUUAGACCACGAAAUUUAGGUGGAUUGGACACCAGAUGUGAGCAAAAUUUUGUAUACAAAUUUUCUGUACUGCUGGUAUUGUAAA